CCCGUCGGCACGCGGCGGACAAAGCAGACGGCUGUCCCCGUGCUGCGCCGCAGACCGGCCAGAAAGCAGCUUGCCAGAUGGAUCUGCGCUCUGUCGCCGCUGCGUCGCAUCUCUCAAAGUGAGAAGACUCGCUCUGCAAAUGUGCGUCCCCUGCUUCACAAACUUGGACCGCUGCCUCUGUUCGUGGCGGGCGAAAUCCAGGCUUCUCUCCAGCGCUGCAAACCUCUGUCACUGCUGACUAACGAUGUGGUGGACGGUGGUGUGACACCGCAAAGGGACAGCCCAGAACUUAUCACUAAACUGUUACCAAAUCAACUUUUCCUCUGCGGAUGAAGAUUUGUUUGCCCGGUCUAUGUGGAAGUGCUCUGGGAAUAACUGGAGUAACUGAGUGUAAAUUAAAAAGUAUCGUACGUCUUUAAUUUAUAGGUGUCUAUAUCAUUCCACCUGGACUAACUAAUCCCGACUGUCCAGUGUCCACAGUCAAACUGGAAGGGAUGCGAAGGCGAGCAUGGUGCUCUGCUUUCUUAUCUUCUGUUGCUAACGCACAAAGGGGAGCGAAAUUGGAUUGUAAACUAUGUGGAGUGAUUCCUGAGGACUGAGUCGCUGCUCUCCGCGGGUGUAUGGUGAAGAGCAGCCCGAGGAUGACGGGAGGAACCCGGGAGGCUCCGGUGAACGCCUCUCCGGCGGUUGCGUCAAACGCAGAGGGCGAGGAGAUCGAGGUUUUGGAAAGCACCGACGUCCUCCCAGUGGCUCCAGAGGACCAAUGGAAGUCUCUGUUUGACAAGGUAUG
Molecule: long non-coding RNA, 790 nt
Organism: Perca flavescens (yellow perch)
Lineage: Eukaryota; Metazoa; Chordata; Actinopteri; Perciformes; Percidae
Exons: 3
Source: RefSeq, a predicted model, not a curated record